UUUCCGUAGGUGAACCUGCGGAAGGAUCAUUAAAAAUGAAGCCGGGAAACCGGUCCUUCUCACCCUUGAUUAUCUCAAUUUGUUGCUUUGGUGGGCCGCGCAAGCACCGGCUUCGGCUGGAUCGUGCCCGCCAGAGGACCACAACUCUGUAUUAUAUGUCGUCCGAGUACUAUAAAAUAGUUAAAACUUUCAACAACGGAUCUCUUGGUUCUG
RNAcentral lists this unclassified non-coding RNA (213 nucleotides) under plant metagenome. RNAcentral describes it as "partial contains small subunit ribosomal RNA, internal transcribed spacer 1, and 5.8S ribosomal RNA". The record is from RNAcentral.